GUGGAUUAGAUACCCUGGUAGUCCACGCCCUAAACGAUGUCAACUAGUUGUCGGGUCUUAAUUGACUUGGUAACGCAGCUAACGCGUGAAGUUGACCGCCUGGGGAGUACGGUCGCAAGAUUAAAACUCAAAGGAAUUGACGGGGACCCGCACAAGCGGUGGAUGAUGUGGAUUAAUUCGAUGCAACGCGAAAAACCUUACCUACCCUUGACAUGGCAGGAAUCCCGGAGAGAUUCGGGAGUGCUCGAAAGAGAACCUGCACACAGGUGCUGCAUGGCCGUCGCCAACU
RNAcentral lists this ribosomal RNA (289 nucleotides) under uncultured bacterium. RNAcentral's name for it is "partial 16S ribosomal RNA". It matches the Rfam family "Bacterial small subunit ribosomal RNA", at positions 773 to 1060 of the family's 1533-position model. The record is from RNAcentral.